AAGAUGAGCUGUUCUGCUACGG
This 22-nucleotide microRNA is filed under the name Branchiostoma belcheri (Belcher's lancelet). RNAcentral's name for it is "bbe-miR-4891-5p". The record is from miRBase by way of RNAcentral. Lineage: Eukaryota; Metazoa; Chordata; Leptocardii; Amphioxiformes; Branchiostomatidae.